Non-coding RNA from Pelobates cultripes (western spadefoot toad), 293 nucleotides. The record is from the annotation of a GenBank genome assembly. Lineage: Eukaryota; Metazoa; Chordata; Amphibia; Anura; Pelobatidae.
CCCCAUCACCCGCAGCAAUAUCUCCACACUGUAUACUGUACACUUAACUCCAAAUAUUGACAAGUCACAAAUGGUGUAAUUGGAGGGGUCAUUUCUAAAGGGCUAAUAAUGAAAUGAUUCCAAGACGAGUUCUUGAAAAACUGCAGAAUUCGAGGUGAUUUGCCCAGCAGAAUGUACAGGUUAAAGGGGCACUAUUACCACCAAGACCACUUCAUCUCACUGAUGUGUCUCAAUCAAGGGGUCUAGGUGCCAUGUCCCCCUCAUUUUAACCAGUGAACUUUGCCAUACUGCAG